This 224-nucleotide long non-coding RNA is filed under the name Capsicum annuum. RNAcentral's name for it is "long non-coding RNA (CANN_LNC017055)". The record is from RNAcentral. Lineage: Eukaryota; Viridiplantae; Streptophyta; Magnoliopsida; Solanales; Solanaceae.
GGAAACCCUACCUGGUGAGCUUCCCAAUAGUUUGGGCCACACAAUACCUAACCCAACUAAGCCUGUCCCUUAUAACCCAGAAGGGCCCAACUCAAGGAAGAGUCUAUCUUAUGAUGGUCCUACCAAAGUCAUACUCAAUUUAAAUGGGGUAAAUCUUUCCACUUAUCUACGCAUAUCUAACUAAUCCCAAAGAUGUAAGGCCCAUAUCUCACCCAUCAAGCCCC